Non-coding RNA from Oryzias latipes (Japanese medaka), 223 nucleotides. Lineage: Eukaryota; Metazoa; Chordata; Actinopteri; Beloniformes; Adrianichthyidae. The record is from Rfam.
AUCGCUUCUCGGCCUUUUGGCUAAGAUCAAGUGUAGUAUCUGUUCUUAUCAGAUUAAUUAAAAAAAAAAAUCUGUUCUUAUCAGUUUAAUAUCUGAUAUGUCCUCCAGUGGAGGACAACGUAUUAAGCCGAUUUUUGAAGAACGGAUGUGAAGGUGGAGCUUGCUCUAUUCACUCCAUGCAUUGACCCAGUAUUGCAGUGUUUCUGGGAACAGCGCCCACAUC